UGUGAUACACGUGAAAGCUCGACGAGAAAGAAAAGCCUCUUUCUAUCUCAUCAUUGCAUUUUUCAUCCUCUGUUUCUCUCUCUCAUAUCUCUGUGAGCUUCAAGAAAUGGCUGGAAAUGAUUCGCUCGCCGAAUUUCUUGCGUCUGCAGUUCAAGCUGCUCAGGAAGCUGGUGAGAUUAUUCGAGAAGGAUUCUACCAGACAAAAAA
This is a long non-coding RNA of Neltuma alba, 207 nucleotides long. RefSeq lists it as uncharacterized. Lineage: Eukaryota; Viridiplantae; Streptophyta; Magnoliopsida; Fabales; Fabaceae. The transcript is spliced from 3 exons. The record is from RefSeq and is a predicted model, not a curated record.